RNAcentral lists this transfer RNA (84 nucleotides) under Parcubacteria group bacterium CG1_02_44_31. RNAcentral's name for it is "tRNA-Leu". It matches the Rfam family "tRNA". Rfam says of the family: Transfer RNA (tRNA) molecules are approximately 80 nucleotides in length. RNAcentral also lists the same sequence under 5 other names. The record is from RNAcentral.
GGGGAUAUGGCGGAAUUGGCAGACGCACUAGCUUCAGGGGCUAGCGGUAGUAAUACCAUGAGAGUUCAAAUCUCUCUAUCCCCA